GACGAACGCUGGCGGCGUGCUUAACACAUGCAAGUCGAACGGAAAGGCCCUGCUUUUGUGGGGUGCUCGAGUGGCGAACGGGUGAGUAACACGUGAGUAACCUGCCCUUGACUUUGGGAUAACUUCAGGAAACUGGGGCUAAUACCGGAUAGGAGCUCCUGCUGCAUGGUGGGGGUUGGAAAGUUUCGGCGGUUGGGGAUGGACUCGCGGCUUAUCAGCUUGUUGGUGGGGUAGUGGCUUACCAAGGCUUUGACGGGUAGCCGGCCUGAGAGGGUGCCCGGCCACAUUGGGACUGAGAUACGGCCCAGACUCCUACGGGAGGCAGCAGUGGGGAAUAUUGAACAAUGGGCGGAAGCCUGAUGCAGCAACGCCGCGUGCGGGAUGACGGCCUUCGGGUUGUAAACCGCUUUCGCCUGUGACGAAGCGUGAGUGACGGUAAUGGGUAAAGAAGCACCGGCUAACUACGUG
This 468-nucleotide ribosomal RNA is filed under the name uncultured bacterium. RNAcentral's name for it is "partial 16S ribosomal RNA". It matches the Rfam family "Bacterial small subunit ribosomal RNA", at positions 28 to 507 of the family's 1533-position model. The record is from RNAcentral.